RNAcentral lists this ribosomal RNA (381 nucleotides) under uncultured fungus. Its description in RNAcentral is "SSU rRNA". It matches the Rfam family "Eukaryotic small subunit ribosomal RNA", at positions 828 to 1208 of the family's 1831-position model. The record is from RNAcentral. Lineage: Eukaryota; Fungi.
CUUCGGUUCUAUUUUGUUGGUUUCUAGGACUGAAGUAAUGAUUGAUAGGGUUAGUUGGGGGUGCUAGUAUUCAGCGGCCAGAGGUGAAAUUCUCGGAUUCGCUGAAGACUAACUAAUGCGAAAGCAUUCGCCAAGGAUAACCCCUUUAAUCAAGAACGAAAGUUGGGGGAUCGAAGACGAUCAGAUACCGUCGUAGUCUCAACCAUAAACUAUGCCGACUAGGGAUGAGUGAACGUUGCAUUUUCGACUUCAUUCGCACCUUAUGAGAAAUCAAAGUCCUUGGGUUCCGGGGGGAGUAUGGUCGCAAGGCUGAAACUUAAAGGAAUUGACGGAAGGGCACCACCAGGAGUGGAGCCUGCGGCUUAAUUUGACUCAACACGG